This is a non-coding RNA of Pelobates cultripes (western spadefoot toad), 272 nucleotides long. NCBI's taxonomy places the organism in Eukaryota, Metazoa, Chordata, Amphibia, Anura, Pelobatidae. The record is from the annotation of a GenBank genome assembly.
CCCAGGGUUACCACCCAUUUCAUUUCCUAGAACUAGUGUGAUUAGCUUGUUCUCUCUUUGGUGAUUUCAGAAUGGGUUUCAAUACCCUUAUUUCUUUUGAGCUACAUAUAAGCUAAAGUUUAUAAUCUACAAUUUGUGCCACAAUAUGUCCGAAUUCUUAUCAGGAAAGUGAACCCUGAUCAGGGAUUAGAUUAUGUAACCAAUUUAUUUUUCUACCAAUCCUUCAGAAUGCCAGAUGUUGUAGAACUACAACUCCCAUAAUGCUUGCUUUG